This 348-nucleotide ribosomal RNA is filed under the name uncultured Helicobacter sp. RNAcentral describes it as "bacterial SSU rRNA". It matches the Rfam family "Bacterial small subunit ribosomal RNA", at positions 278 to 643 of the family's 1533-position model. Lineage: Bacteria; Pseudomonadati; Campylobacterota; Epsilonproteobacteria; Campylobacterales; Helicobacteraceae. The record is from RNAcentral.
GACGGGUAUCCGGCCUGAGAGGGUGAACGGACACACUGGAACUGAGACACGGUCCAGACUCCUACGGGAGGCAGCAGUAGGGAAUAUUGCUCAAUGGGGGAAACCCUGAAGCAGCAACGCCGCGUGGAGGAUGAAGGUUUUAGGAUUGUAAACUCCUUUUGUUAGAGAAGAUUAUGACGGUAUCUAACGAAUAAGCACCGGCUAACUCCGUGCCAGCAGCCGCGGUAAUACGGAGGGUGCAAGCGUUACUCGGAAUCACUGGGUGUAAAGAGUGCGCAGGCGGGAUAGCAAGUCAGAUGUGAAAUGCUAUGGCUUAACCAUAGAACUGCAUUUGAAACUGUUAUUCUA